RNAcentral lists this unclassified non-coding RNA (220 nucleotides) under plant metagenome. Its description in RNAcentral is "partial contains small subunit ribosomal RNA, internal transcribed spacer 1, and 5.8S ribosomal RNA". The record is from RNAcentral.
UUUCCGUAGGUGAACCUGCGGAAGGAUCAUUACAGAGUUCAUGCCCUCACGGGUAGAUCUCCCACCCUUGAAUAUUUAUACCUUAGUUGCUUUGGCAGGCCGUGGAAACACCAUGGGCUCCGGCUUAUGCGUGACUGCCAGAGGAAACAAACUCUGUUUUUAGUGAUGUCUGAGUACUAUAUAAUAGUUAAAACUUUCAACAACGGAUCUCUUGGUUCUG